This 254-nucleotide ribosomal RNA is filed under the name uncultured bacterium. RNAcentral describes it as "partial 16S ribosomal RNA". It matches the Rfam family "Bacterial small subunit ribosomal RNA", at positions 524 to 776 of the family's 1533-position model. The record is from RNAcentral.
UACGUAGGGGGCGAGCGUUGUCCGGAAUUAUUGGGCGUAAAGAGCUCGUAGGCGGUUCGGCAAGUCACGUGUGAAAUCUCCACGCUCAACGUGGAGGCGCCACGUGAGACUGCUGUGACUCGAGUCCGGUAGGGGAGCGUGGAAUUCCCGGUGUAGCGGUGAAAUGCGCAGAGAUCGGGAGGAACACCCGUAGCGAAGGCGGCGCUCUGGGUCGAUACUGACGCUGAGGUGCGAAAGCGUGGGGAGCAAACAGG